This 870-nucleotide ribosomal RNA is filed under the name uncultured delta proteobacterium. RNAcentral describes it as "bacterial SSU rRNA". It matches the Rfam family "Bacterial small subunit ribosomal RNA", at positions 50 to 881 of the family's 1533-position model. The record is from RNAcentral. Lineage: Bacteria; Deltaproteobacteria.
UACACAUGCAAGUCGAACGAGAAAUCCGACACUCAGGCAACUGAGUGUUAGAGAGUAAAGUGGCGCACGGGUGAGUAACGCGUGGGUAACCUACCNNNUGAAUUUGGAAUAACCCCGCGAAAGCGGGACUAAUACCGGAUGUGGUUCCAUGGGCCUCGGCUUUUGGAAUUAAAGGUGACCUCUUCAUGAAAGUUGCCGUUCAGGGACGGGCCCGCGUACCAUUAGCUUGUUGGUAGGGUAAUGGCCUACCAAGGCGACGAUGGUUAACUGGUCUGAGAGGAUGAUCAGCCACACUGGAACUGGAACACGGUCCAGACUCCUACGGGAGGCAGCAGUGAGGAAUUUUGCGCAAUGGGGGAAACCCUGACGCAGCAACGCCGCGUGAGCGAANAAGGCCCUCGGGUCGUAAAGCUCUGUCAAGUGGGAAAAAAGCCUUUCGAUGAAUAGUCGGUAGGUUUGAUGGUACCACUGGAGGAAGCACCGGCUAACUCCGUGCCAGCAGCCGCGGUAAUACGGAGGGUGCAAGCGUUGUUCGGAAUUACUGGGCGUAAAGGGCGUGCAGGCGGUUUGGCAAGUCAGAUGUGAAAGCCCUGGGCUUAACCCGGGAAGUGCAUUUGAAACUGCCUUUCUUGAGUAUGGGAGAGGAGAGUGGAAUUCCCAGUGUAGAGGUGAAAUUCGUAGAUAUUGGGAGGAACACCCGUGGCGAAGGCGACUCUCUGGACCAAUACUGACGCUGAGACGCGAAAGCGUGGGGAGCAAACAGGAUUAGAUACCCUGGUAGUCCACGCUGUAAACGAUGAGAACUAGGUGUAGCGGGUAUUGACCCCUGCUGUGCCGAAGUUAACGCAUUAAGUUCUCCGCCUGGGGAGU